AGAGUUUGAUCAUGGCUCAGGAUGAACGCUAGCGAUAGGCUUAACACAUGCAAGUCGAGGGGCAUCACGAGGUAGCAAUACUUUGGUGGCGACCGGCGUACGGGUGCGUAACACGUAUGCAACCUUCCUGUAAGUGUGGGAUAGCCUCCUGAAAGGGAGAUUAAUACCUCAUGAUAUGUAUUUGCUGCAUGGCAUUUACAUUAAACAUUUAUGGCUUACAGAUGGGCAUGCGUUCCAUUAGGCAGUUGGUGUGGUAACGGCUCACCAAACCUACGAUGGAUAGGGGUUCUGAGAGGAAGGUCCCCCACACUGGAACUGAGACACGGUCCAGACUCCUACGGGAGGCAGCAGUGAGGAAUAUUGGUCAAUGGGCGCGAGCCUGAACCAGCCACGUCGCGUGAAGGAUGACGGCCUUAUGGGUUGUAAACUUCUUUUACAGGGGAAUAAAGUGAGUCACGUGUGAUUUUUUGCAUGUACCCUGUGAAUAAGCAUCGGCUAACUCCGUGCCAGCAGCCGCGGUAAUACGGAGGAUGCGAGCGUUAUCCGGAUUUAUUGGGUUUAAAGGGUGCGUAGGCGGGAUAUUAAGUCAGCGGUGAAAGUUUUCGGCUCAACCUUAAAAUUGCCGUUGAAACUGUUAUUCUUGAGUGCAGUAGAGGUAGGCGGAAUUCGUUGUGUAGCGGUGAAAUGCGUAGAUAUAACGAGGAACUCCGAUUGCGUAGGCAGCUUACUAUAUUGCUACUGACGCUGAGGCACGAAAGUGUGGGUAUCAAACAGGAUUAGAUACCCUGGUAGUCCACACAGUAAACGAUGAAUACUAGCUGUUUGCGAUAUAUUGUAAGCGGCCGAGCGAAAGCAUUAAGUAUUCCACCUGGGGAGUACGUCGGCACGAUGAAACUCAAAUGAAUUGACGG
Molecule: ribosomal RNA, 911 nt
Filed under: uncultured bacterium
Lineage: Bacteria
Description: bacterial SSU rRNA
Rfam family: Bacterial small subunit ribosomal RNA
Source: RNAcentral